Molecule: ribosomal RNA, 295 nt
Filed under: uncultured cyanobacterium
Lineage: Bacteria; Bacillati; Cyanobacteriota
Description: partial 16S ribosomal RNA
Rfam family: Bacterial small subunit ribosomal RNA
Source: RNAcentral
CUUCGUGAGAAUGGAAUUUAUAUUUAUCCGCCCAGAGAGAANNNCACGNNUGAUUAGCUUGUUGGUAAGGUAAGAGCUUACCAAGGCGACGAUCAGUAUCUGGUUUGAGAGGACGAUCAGACACACUGGAACUGAGACACGGUCCAGACUCCUACGGGAGGCAGCAGUGGGGAAUUUUCCGCAAUGGGCGAAAGCNUGACGGAGCAAUACCGCGUGAGGGAAGACUGCCUAUGGGUUGUAAACCUCUUUUUUCAGGGAGGAAUCAAUGACGUGUACCUGAACAAUAAGCAUCGCU